UUGUUACGAGACCGAUAGCGAACAAGUACCGUGAGGNAAAGUUGAAAAGAACUUUGAAGAGAGAGUUCAAGAGUACGUGAAACCGUUCAGGGGUAAACCUGUGAAACCCAAAAGAUCGAAUGAGGAGAUUCAUCGUCAGCGUAAUCAGUAUUAAUGCAGGCUAUGAUGUGAUAAUAGAAUCCUCGUGGUCACUAGAUUAUACUUGCUUGUNUUAUUUUUGCUGGGUGUGUCGGCGUGCACUUCUCCUCUAGUAGAACGUCGCAACCCGUUGGAUGUUUAUCUAUGGCCUGAUUGGUAGCCUUUGAUAUAAUUUUAUAUUGAAGACCUUUNGNNGNCCUGA
This 340-nucleotide ribosomal RNA is filed under the name Apanteles sp. Rodriguez26. RNAcentral describes it as "eukaryotic LSU rRNA". It matches the Rfam family "Eukaryotic large subunit ribosomal RNA", at positions 323 to 615 of the family's 3401-position model. The record is from RNAcentral. Lineage: Eukaryota; Metazoa; Arthropoda; Insecta; Hymenoptera; Braconidae.